Molecule: long non-coding RNA, 3793 nt
Organism: Triticum aestivum (bread wheat)
Lineage: Eukaryota; Viridiplantae; Streptophyta; Magnoliopsida; Poales; Poaceae
Exons: 5
Source: RefSeq, a predicted model, not a curated record
AAAAAUGGUUCGCUAGAAAAAAUACCCGUACGCGUCUGCCUCCUCGCAUCGCCUCGACCCUGGCCUCUGCCUAGGCCGAGCUAACCCUAGCUGCCGCCGCACCACUCGCCACCGCGGCCGACCUCAACCCACCCGCCGCCCCGGCCGACCUCAACCCGCCCGCCGCCCCGGCCACACCUCUUCCCGCUCGCCGCCCCCACCGCGGCGCUCGAGCGCAGCUUCUGGAUCAGUUCAACGCGGCGGCUCGACAGGCUGGGGACGAUGCGUCUGCUCGAAGCAAAACGGCGGUGGCGGGAUCCAGCAGGCGCGGGAGAAGGAGAGAUCCGGCGCGGCGGCGCGAAGUCCUUGUAAGUGGAGGCGGGCCUCCAUGGCUGGCAGGGAGAGCUCCAAGGUCAUGGCGGUGAUUCGAUUUUUCUGGUAGAGAAGAGAGACAGAGGAGGAUCCAGGAUGGAGGAGAGGUAGGAGAAGAAGGACGAGGAAGAUGGAAGUGUGCGGCAGGGGUGCAGCGGUGCGAGGGCACUGGUGCGCGUGAGGAGCACCUCUCCUCGGGAGGAUCAGGGAGGAGCGAGUGAAACUCAAAUUGACUUCAGAGCAAGGUACUGGUGUAGAACUACGAAGAAGCAAGCUGACCAGAUGCACACGUACUAGCCGGCAACAACGAUGAAGGAAGCCAACCAGAUGUGCACAAAACUACACUACAUCAUGCCUAAUUGAAUCCUCCGAAUACUUCUGAGCAUAAGGAUGAAAAAGUGCAGCAACCGACUUGGCUUAUUGUUUUGGAAAUUGCAACCGGUGCUCUCCUUCUUGUUUUUGUGAUCACUGGUGCUGUUACUGCCUCCAGAAGCUUCAAUCUAAAGCCUUCUAUAAGAAUAUCAUCAUGGAGUAGAUCAAAAAGUUGGAGCAACGAGAUAACAGUACUGAUUGAUAGAUUCUGAUAUGCUGAAAAGUUUGCCAAAGUUGAGUCACUAGGAACUUGAAGUAGUGUAUUAGGAUUUUAGCAACAUAAUUGGCUCAACUCUGGAGACUAUAGUCUACAAAGAAACAAUGAAGGAUGGACCUGAGGUUUCUGUCAUAUCAUUAUGCGCCUUUGAAGGUCAUUGGACUAGCCAGCAUGAGCUCUUUUACCAAAACAAGGUUAUUGAUCUGGCAAGGUUGAAUCAUGAGAACAUAGCAAAGUUUCUGGGCUAUUGCAGAGAGAGUGACCCAUUCUCGAGGAUGUUAAUCUUUGAGUAAAAAUCAAAUGGGACCCUGCACGAGCACCCACACUGUAAGUCUAUCUCUUCAAUUUCAUUAGGACAGACUAAAUAUUUGCAUUUUCUGUGUGUUGUAGAUUUGAUCUCAGUUGUUUUCGUCCUUUAUAUGGGGAAGCGGCCCAAUUCUCUUGGCUCAGAUGAAUGAAAAUAGCCAUCGACAUCGCCCAAGGUUUAAGGCUGGCGACGUCGUCUAUUGAAGCCCCACCGGCGACACGACGGGACAGCUCCGACUUGUACGUGGGUGUGGGAAUGCAGAUCCGCGUUGCCAGCUUACACAAGGCCAUGCUCAACGCGCCGACGCAGGGUUUAUCGCCCGUCUUUGUCAGAUAAGCAAAGCAAUCCACCUUCCUCUUUCUCAUCAGAUCCAUUUUAUUGUGAUAUUGCAUUUAAGUCAAUCAAUUUUUAUGAUUCUUUCAGUGUUAAAGAAAAUAGAAUUUACCUGAAUAAAUUGCGUGUAUAGAUAUGUAGAGGAUGAACUCAACAAGUGGAUCUUUCAAGGUUAAUUAGCUUUGCACAUUUUAUAAAAUAGAUGCAAUGGCAUAGCACCUUCAGUAUCAUGCUUGCACUCACAUGUUGUUCCAACAGCACUAUGAAUGCUGCCCAGAAUUGCCAUGACUUCAGCUUUCGCUAUAAGUUCCUAUGAUGCUCCUUUUCAGGUGACUUUUCAUGUGAUUUCUACUUCUAAAAAUUAGAAAGUACCUUCAGAUCAAAGCAGUGGAUUUGUAGAUUUUCUGGGUAUUGGUGCUACUCCAUCUCCAUUUGGCUUACGGUCUUUGGUCACUGAUUCUGAGGUACGACGUUGUUUUACUUUUAUGUUAAAUCCCAUUUAGCUUGGCACCUCCAUUUAUUGGUUCGGACCGAGCAAAGAUCCUGUCGAGCAAUAUCACUGACUGGAAGCAUAAAUUUUCAAAUCAGUGAUGAGAUAAAUCUUGUGUACCGAUGCUUAGCAGCUAGCGAAGUGCGGCUGGUAUUUUUGGUCUGUAUGUAGGUAGCUUCCUGAUGUGUGUGGCUGUGUGUUCAUUCACGACCUGAACUUAUUUCUGUUGGCUUCAUUUUAGUAAAGAUGGGGUGGGGAAAAAAACAACACCCUAUAUAUAUUGACUGAAAAUAAUAAUAUGUUUCAGUAGCUAUAUUUCUCUGUUUCCUAACAUGGUUGUAGGCUAGAUGUUCGUGUUGGUUUGUCUUGCUGUAGAACUUGCCCCUAUUCAUUUGUUACACAUUUUGUGUAGCUAUCAAGGAAGAAAGUAAUGGACAUUCACAGGUCAGAGUCUCCCCAUCAGCAUUUGAUGGCAGGGGCCGCUGCUUUACAGAAGAUGGAUGUGAAACCAAAAUCAUAUUAUACCAACUUUUAUUUAAUGCAUAUUAUCAUUUAGCAAUACGUUGGCUGUGCCUCCCCGUGAUCAAUGGAGAUCUUCUGUAGCUGUAUUGGAGUUUUGUCAUGCGUUAAACUUCUCAAUGGUUGACCAUGGAAAAUCUGUGUAGUUCUUAUUUUGUACAUAUGCUUCUGGUUUCAAGGAGAAUUCUUACUCCUUUUGGAAUUACCAUCUUUAAACAUUGUAGAUCCCAAUCUCUUGUGUAUUUGCAUCAAAUACUGUUUUUCGAAUGCUUAUCAUGUAUAAUACUAAACUCCCUGCCCCCUACUUCUUCUGUCACAUGUGUUGUUCCUUUGUCAUCAGUGGGCUCCAGAAAACACAACUGCAAGGUAGAGAAUAGUUGCCACUUAGUUAGCAUUUUAGUUAGCAGUGUAGACAUGUUAGUAAUACUAUAAUGUUGGACAAUAAAUGACUUCGACUACAUUCGAACGAACUUAUCUUGCUUCCAAGAAGAGUAAAAUCAUCUUUAAUAAUUUCCCGGAUUUUGCUUAUAUUCAUGUUUCUUAACAUGUUUGGAAUGUCGUUUCCUCCAAAAUGCGACAUUUACCUUCCAUUUGGAGCAUAGGAUGCAUUUUUUAUCAGUUGAUGACUAAAAAAAAAAUCACUUUUCUGAUAAAAACGCUAUCCAUCAGUUGGACUUAAUUAAUUGCCUUCUAGACACACCUUCAAAUAUAUACAGGUUCUCUAAUAAGGUAGUCGUGGGAACACUAUAUUUUUGGUUUACAUUGUAAAUGUUUCCAGUGACCACAAAUUUGACUUUCUUUUUUGCUUCUUUUCAGCUUUCAGGUCCUAAAUGAGAAGGUAAGGAUGUACUUGAGCAGUACGAGAAGACCGAGUUCCAUUAUCUCAGAAGCCAGAAGUUUCCCAUUAAUCUUUGGUUCUAAAAUUUGUUUAAGAAAAUGGUCAUUCUGCUAUUAGCACCACGAUUAUGUGUCAAUUGUAGAUUUUUAAUUGGUUAGAAUUAUUUUAUAUGUUUGAUUCCUUUGGUUCAUAUUUAUUCAACAACAAAAUAUUUUCGAGAUUGGUCAAUUUGAGGAUCAAACUUCAAACAUGUGAAUUGAUGUGGCAUCAAGCUAAAUCUAUUGAUACAUAGCUAUCCUUUUUUGCUUUGCACAAUUAAUAUUGUUACUGGAGAUGUAUGUUAAUCCUCUAGCUUUGCUCAUUUUA